This 464-nucleotide ribosomal RNA is filed under the name Vreelandella stevensii. RNAcentral's name for it is "partial 16S ribosomal RNA". It matches the Rfam family "Bacterial small subunit ribosomal RNA", at positions 338 to 795 of the family's 1533-position model. Lineage: Bacteria; Pseudomonadati; Pseudomonadota; Gammaproteobacteria; Oceanospirillales; Halomonadaceae. The record is from RNAcentral.
CCUACGGGUGGCAGCAGUGGGGAAUAUUGGACAAUGGGCGAAAGCCUGAUCCAGCCAUGCCGCGUGUGUGAAGAAGGCCUUCGGGUUGUAAAGCACUUUCAGUGGGGAAGAAAGCCUUGGGGCUAAUACCCUCGAGGAAGGACAUCACCCACAGAAGAAGCACCGGCUAACUCCGUGCCAGCAGCCGCGGUAAUACGGAGGGUGCGAGCGUUAAUCGGAAUUACUGGGCGUAAAGCGCGCGUAGGCGGUCUGAUAAGCCGGUUGUGAAAGCCCCGGGCUCAACCUGGGAACGGCAUCCGGAACUGUCAGGCUAGAGUGCAGGAGAGGAAGGUAGAAUUCCCGGUGUAGCGGUGAAAUGCGUAGAGAUCGGGAGGAAUACCAGUGGCGAAGGCGGCCUUCUGGACUGACACUGACGCUGAGGUGCGAAAGCGUGGGUAGCAAACAGGAUUAGAUACCCAGUAGUC